Molecule: unclassified non-coding RNA, 284 nt
Filed under: Hevea brasiliensis (rubber tree)
Lineage: Eukaryota; Viridiplantae; Streptophyta; Magnoliopsida; Malpighiales; Euphorbiaceae
Source: RNAcentral
UUUUUAAUUUUUUUUUUCUCUUUUCUACAUCUUAAACUUUUAUUUAGGUACAAGAAUGUCAAAAUCAGUAACUGUCCACUCUGCCACUUGAUUUGGAUCUUUAUAAAUUUCAGUUCCCAAGUUGAUUGAAGUCCAUUUCCUUAUUGCUGGUGUAGUUCCUGGAUCCUGAUAAAAAUAAAGUGAUUGUGACAACUUCCCAACAUCAAGUUCCCAUGUUUUUGGAUCUCCAAUCCAACCAUCACCUUUCCUAGUAGGAUAACCAUAAUCCCCCCAAACAGGAUGUG